Molecule: ribosomal RNA, 212 nt
Filed under: uncultured bacterium
Lineage: Bacteria
Description: partial 16S ribosomal RNA
Rfam family: Bacterial small subunit ribosomal RNA
Source: RNAcentral
UCGCGUAGGGAUUUAUCGUUGGGUGGGGGAUAACCGCGGGAAACUGCGGCUAAUACCGCAUGACGCCUGUGGGCCAAAGCCGCUGUGAGGUGGUGCCUGAUGAGGAGCCUGCGUCCGAUUAGCUAGUAGGUUGGGUAAUGGCUGACCUAGGCUGUGAUCGGUAGCUGGUCUGAGAGGAUGAUCAGCCACACUGGGACUGAGACACGGCCCAG